Ipomoea nil (Japanese morning glory) is the source of this 104-nucleotide long non-coding RNA. RefSeq lists it as uncharacterized. The record is from RefSeq and is a predicted model, not a curated record. The transcript is spliced from 3 exons. Lineage: Eukaryota; Viridiplantae; Streptophyta; Magnoliopsida; Solanales; Convolvulaceae.
AAUGUAUUUUACACUAAAAAAAAACAGAUCUAAGUAAUCCCAACUCUAAACUUUCAAAAAUUUGCCUAAUGCAACACCAUAAUAGUUUUUCAUGUUCAAACCAA